GAUGAACGCUGGCGGUGUGCCUAAUACAUGCAAGUCGAGCGAACGGUCGAGAAGCUUGCUCUUCUGAUGUUAGCGGCGGACGGGAGAGUAACACGUGGAUAACCUACCUAUAAGACUGGGAUAACUUCGGGAAACCGGAUCUAAUACCGGAUAAUAUUUUGAACUGCAUGGUUCAAAAGUUGAAGACGGUCUUGCGGUCACUUAUAGAUGGAUCCGGGGUGCAUUAGCUAGUUGGUAAGGUAAUGGCUUACCAAGGCAACGAGGCAUAGCCGACCUGAGCGGGUCGUCGGCUACCCGGGAUCAGAGACACGGUCCAGACUCCGACAGUGAGACGCAGUAGAGACUCUUACGGGAUGGAGCAGUGCGGAACAGAGCAAAGCCGGGGGAGGGAUGAAGGACUUAUGCUCGUUGAGCUCUGAAGUUCGGGGGGUAGAAAUGUGUAAUUAACUGUGCUGAUCUUGACGGUACCGAGUCAAAAAGCCCCGGCUAACUACGUG
RNAcentral lists this ribosomal RNA (497 nucleotides) under uncultured bacterium. RNAcentral describes it as "partial 16S ribosomal RNA". It matches the Rfam family "Bacterial small subunit ribosomal RNA", at positions 28 to 507 of the family's 1533-position model. The record is from RNAcentral.